This 429-nucleotide ribosomal RNA is filed under the name Chloroflexota bacterium. RNAcentral's name for it is "Chloroflexi bacterium partial 16S ribosomal RNA". It matches the Rfam family "Bacterial small subunit ribosomal RNA", at positions 355 to 776 of the family's 1533-position model. The record is from RNAcentral. Lineage: Bacteria; Bacillati; Chloroflexota.
UGGGGAAUAUUGCACAAUGGGCGCAAGCCUGAUGCAGCCAUGCCGCGUGUAUGAAGAAGGCCUUCGGAUUGUAAAGUACUUUCAGCGGGGAGGAAGGGAGUAAAGUUAAUACCUUUGCUCAUUGACGUUACCCGCAGAAGAAGCACCGGCUAACUCCGUGCCAGCAGCCGCGGUAAUACGGAGGGUGCAAGCGUUAAUCGGAAUUACUGGGCGUAAAGCGCACGCAGGCGGUUUGUUAAGUCAGAUGUGAAAUCCCCGGGCUCAACCUGGGAACUGAAUCUGAUACUGGCAAGCUUGAGGCUCGUAGAGGGGGGUAGAAUUCCAGGUGUAGCGGUGAAAUGCGUAGAGAUCUGGAGGAAUACCGGUGGCGAAGGCGGCCCCCUGGACGAAGACUGACGCUCAGGUGCGAAAGCGUGGGGAGCAAACAGG